Molecule: unclassified non-coding RNA, 873 nt
Filed under: Zea mays
Lineage: Eukaryota; Viridiplantae; Streptophyta; Magnoliopsida; Poales; Poaceae
Description: misc RNA Zm00001eb224210
Source: RNAcentral
CCGCCGGUGGCCCGCCGUUGCACUGGACACAAGGAAUCAGGCCCAACGGCUAAUAAGAACCCCAAAAGUAUUCAAAAAACGGACCGCAUCGGCCAGCCAGCGCCGCCUCGCCUAUAAAUACGUCGUCUCCUGCAACCUUCUCCCCAUCACCAAGUUUUGGAUUCCAGCAGCGGCGCCCCCAGGCCAGGCCCCACCCGCUCAGCCUCCUCAGCUGCCCAACCUUCUCCCCAUCUGCUCAGCCUCAGCUGUCAUUCCCGCGAAGCGCCGUCUCCCGGCUCUAUCGAUGGACCGAGUCGCCGCCCUCGUCGUCGCGCUCCUCGCCCUCUUCUUCGCCGCCGGGGCCACGGCGCAGGCCCCGGCCUCGUCGCCCAAGCGCACUCCAGCGCCAGCGCCACCCAGGACGGCCUUCCUCCCGCCGCCGCCGGCCAGGGCGCCUAUGGCCUCCCCGCCCUCGCCUCCCGCGAUGGCGCCGGUGCCCGCGCCCUCCGCCGGCGUGCCGGCCACGAGCCCCGUCGGCGCGGGAGCUGGUGACGACGCGAUGGCCCCCGCCGGAGCCGCGGCGGCUCUGACUCCGGCUGCCGCGCCCGUCACGGAGAAGAGCGCCGCCGUCUCAGCCUCCGCCGCCGCCGCCAGCCUCGUGGCCAUCGUUGCCGCCGUGGCAGCCGCCGUCGCGUUCUAGACCGGGACCGACCUUGGGACAUCUGAUAUGUCGGUGGAUCCGUGGAGGAGCUAGAGCUGCACUCUUUCUCUGCUGUGUGUGUUGGGUGUUUUCCUCCUCUUUUUUCGGAUCCUAUUUAUUUGUUUAUUCAUUUGUUAUUUCGAGGCUUGAGACGGAGAUGAGGACGUGUAAUCCUACCAAUUUUUCAGACGGGA